Molecule: non-coding RNA, 2590 nt
Organism: Callithrix jacchus (white-tufted-ear marmoset)
Lineage: Eukaryota; Metazoa; Chordata; Mammalia; Primates; Cebidae
Source: RefSeq, a predicted model, not a curated record
CGCCGCAAGCCGCGCGCGCGCUGCUGCGGUGAAGUUUGGCCCUUUCUAGCUGCCGUCCUCCCCUACGGGCUGUGCGCAGUAAAGGCUGCUAUCCCUCCCUUCUAUCGCCGGAAAUCUGCGUGCUCCAACUCGUUGGUUCAGUCUUGAAAGUAGAGAAGUGGAAGCCAGGGUAAUAAGGCGUGUUUUCAGCCCCAAAUUCUGUCCGCUUCCAAUCCUGCAUGAAAUGUGCCCUCUUCCACCGCUCAUCCGCAUUUGUGACAACAUUGAUUGAAGCUCAAACGAAAUCCUUCAGUGCCUCUGCAGAGCCUACAGUGUAAACGCCAAGAUCCUUGAUGGACAUGGAUGAAUCUGGAGAACAUCAUCCUCAGCAAACUGACACAAGAGCAGAAAAUGAAACACCGCAUAUUCUCACUCAUAGAGUUUCAAUUCAUCCUGUUUGAAGAAGCCCCAAUCAUCUUGGGCCAAUAGAGGGGCAGUGUGGUAUAUGGAAGAAACUGAUGGACAGUGUUUGAGUCUUGGCUUUGUUUUUACCUUUCUGAGCCUCCAUUCUUUACUUGAAAAAUAAGGAUAAGUAAUAUUGUUUACUGCAUCACAAUGUAAUCUGGAUUAAAUGUUAUAAUGUAUAUUUAAGUGCUUUUGUAAAAUUGCUAAAAGCUAUAAAAAUGGCACUAAAUAAGUACUUCUACCAGCCUCCCCUCAUCUAUGCAUUUAUUUCUCCUAUUUAUGUCAGCUCUAAGUAGUAUAAUGACCAUAUCUGGGGAUAAAGAGCUAGACUAAAGUGAAGUGAAUUUAUUUUGCUCUGUGGGAAGUUUUGUAUGCUUUCCUUAGCCUUUCUACUUCUUUUAGAUUGAGUUUGUGCAGAUGAGAAAAAACGUUUUCUUAGGAAGAUGUUAUUUGAAUAACUUUAUACACAAAAUGUAGCAAACAACCUAUAUUGUGAAUUUGUUAUUUUAGCACAUAUAACAUAUAAUGCACAUCAUCUAAAGGAGAGAAGAAAAAGAAACGAUAAAAUAACGAGCAUUUAUGGUGACGAAAGCAAUUUGCUUCACCUGCUCCUGGAUUAUUAAUAUUCAAAGCUGUUUGGCACCAGUUGGGCUGAACUUUCUAUGGUGCAUAAGGGAGAAACAGCAGGAUAAAAAUGAGCAAGGAAGCCAUUUCACACAUACAGUGGUCUGUCUUCCUUGUUAGCUGUCCUUUUGGACACCCAGUUGAGGGCUUUUAUCCAGUACUUACAGACACAGCUUAUCAUAACUUGCGGCUUGUUUCUUUAGGGCAUUCUUCCCCACACCCUACAAGGUAAUGGUCUAUGCUGCAUGUAUUCUAUCUGAUAAAACCUACUUAACAAACUUAAUUAUUACAGACAGGUCCAGUAAUGCCCAUAUUAACAAAAAAAUGACCUUUUGCACUUAUGUAUUCUAUACAUAGACAUAUAACUUUUACACUUUUAUAUUUCUAUAUAGAAACACAUGAAUUAUUCAGCACCCAUAGGCAUUUGCCUUUAUUUACAGACCUGGGGAGACAACAGCCAUUACAUUUUAAAUGGCCAAGGAGGAUGAACCCAAAAUGUGUGAAGUUUUCUUCAGAUCCUUCCAUAAGAGGAAGGUUCUUUGAACUGGCUGCACCAUAGGCCAUAUCCUAAGUAGAGCCAUGGAGACCCUUAUGACCCAUACCUAUACCUCUGGAUGGCCUGCAAUUAGAAAAUCUGAAGUAACGGGAAGACCAUGAAAAGGAAAAGAAUGAUCAACCCUUGUGGCACCUAAUUAACUUGGGACAUUCUUCUAUUGUUCCUUAUUCCCACCUCAAUUGGUAAGGCAAUUGGACUUUGUAACUGACCUUGGUCAACCUUGUGACUCCGACCCUACGACCCCCUCCUACCUUGCAAAAACUACCCUAAACUGUAAUUUCUGUUAACUUUCCAUUGCCUACCCCAAACCUAUAAAACUGACUCUAUCCCACCGUCCUGCGCUGACUCUCUUUUGGGACUCAGCACACUGCACCCAGGUGAAUAAAAAGCCAUGUCUGGGAGAUCACACAAAGCCUGUUUGGGAGGUCUCUUCAUUCAGAGUGCAUGUUUAACAUUUUCUCUUCAACUUCAGAAUAAAAUCCAAAAUCUCCAGCAUGACAUUCAAGGUGUUUCUUAACAUAGGAAAGUCUACAUUUGAUUUUUCUUAACAAAGAUUCUACUCACUUCUCUAGCCUUUACUUUCAUCCUUUAUAGUUUCUACAGCCCUUUAUUUUUCAAAGUUUCAUGCAGUUUCCUCAGCCUAAGUUGCUGCUGUCUCUGUUUUUGAAGAUAACUCUUUCACCUGGAAUGACAAAAAUGUGCCUUGGCAUUUAUCAAGCUAUAUUAGUUUUCUUUCUCCCUGAUUAGCCUAUCAGCUCCUUGAAGGCAGGAACUAUAAUUUUUGUCUCUUUUUUCCCUAGUCAAGUAGAGUGGCUGACAAAUAAUUAAUACAAGCCUUUGUUGUAUAAAUGAAUGGACAAAGGUGGGCAACUAAUUUCUUUGAGAACAUUAUGGUUAGCUAUUUAGUGACUUAUUGAGUUGUUGUUAAUAAAAUAAAGGAAUUUUCUUGUUAAUUCUUUUUUUUGU